UCCAAGAAAAAAUGAGCGCGAGUUUACUGAACAGUGCAUUAUUUGCAAGGAUAAAAAGUACAUUUUGACCAAGCAACCAAUGAAAAGAAGGAAUGAAAGAGACUUUCCAUCUGUGAAUACUACUCAGCCUUUUUCAAAGGAAGACAAGUAGAAACUGAUAGAAACACCAAGUAUCAAGAUAGUGAGACUUCAAA
Limulus polyphemus (Atlantic horseshoe crab) is the source of this 194-nucleotide long non-coding RNA. RefSeq lists it as uncharacterized. The transcript has 2 exons. NCBI's taxonomy places the organism in Eukaryota, Metazoa, Arthropoda, Merostomata, Xiphosura, Limulidae. The record is from RefSeq and is a predicted model, not a curated record.